GUAUCUUCGGAUAUGAGUAGAGCGGCGGACGGGUGAGUAACGCGUAGGAAUCUACCUAGUAGAAGGGGAUAGCCCGGGGAAACCCGGAUUAAUACCGUAUACCUCCUUCGGGAGAAAGAAGGCCUCUCUUUGAAGCUUUCGCUACUAGAUGAGCCUGCGUAAGAUUAGCUUGUUGGUGAGGUAAAGGCUCACCAAGGCUACGAUCUUUAGCUGGUCUGAGAGGACGAUCAGCCACAUUGGGACUGAGACACGGCCCAGACUCCUACGGGAGGCAGCAGUGGGGAAUAUUGGACAAUGGGCGCAAGCCUGAUCCAGCCAUACCGCGUGUGUGAAGAAGGCCUUCGGGUUGUAAAGCACUUUAAGCAGGGAGAAAAAGUUAUAAGCUAAUAUCUUAUGACCUUGAUGUUACCUGCAGAAUAAGCACCGGCUAAUUCCGUGCCAGCAGCCGCGGUAAUACGGAAGGUGCAAGCGUUAAUCGGAAUUACUGGGCGUAAAGCGCGCGUAGGUGGUUUGUUAAGUUGGAUGUGAAAGCCCUGGGCUCAACCUAGGAACUGCAUCCAAAACUAACUCACUAGAGUACGAUAGAGGGAGGUAGAAUUCAUAGUGUAGCGGUGGAAUGCGUAGAUAUUAUGAAGAAUACCAGUGGCGAAGGCGGCCUCCUGGAUCUGUACUGACACUGAGGUGCGAAAGCGUGGGUAGCGAACAGGAUUAGAUACCCUGGUAGUCCACGCCGUAAACGAUGACAACUAGCUGUUGGGAGACAAAGUCUUUCAGUGGCGCAGCUAACGC
Molecule: ribosomal RNA, 789 nt
Filed under: gamma proteobacterium SCGC AAA076-D11
Lineage: Bacteria; Pseudomonadati; Pseudomonadota; Gammaproteobacteria
Also listed under: 6 other names
Description: bacterial SSU rRNA
Rfam family: Bacterial small subunit ribosomal RNA
Source: RNAcentral